UUGAAGACUCAUCUGGUCUACUGCCUCAUCCUGCGAUUUUAAAUAUUGUUUUUAAAAAAUGAGACCAUCUUCCUCCAAGACAGAAGGGCGACGUUCCUGAACCAGCCAGGGCUAUAACAUGUCGUGGACUUUAGUAUGAUUCAGAAGGGGGUCGAUGCCAGAAUAUUAUUAUUGAUCUCUUUUGCAGUCCCUUUACAAGCAAAUCUUGUUCUCCCUAAGUUAACUCGGUGGAGAUAUGAGAUAUUAAAGAACGGAGUUUAAGGAUCUGUCCACAGCCAAAUGCUGCAGGCUAAUACCUUACAAGAUUGAGGGACGCGGAGAAGCACAGUGGCUUCAUCGGAAAAGGUUUUGUAGCUGCUGUACAACGAGGGACCAGAACCCUGGACUUUCACUCAUGGAAUGUCCGUUUGCCGAAUUGUGUUCAAGAUUUCUGGUGAGGCAAGAACUGUCAAACAUUUGAUCCAUGUUGGAGUGCCAAUGGGCCCGAUCUUAUUGAGAGGGACAGCAAAAGAAAUGGGCAAAGAAAGGCCACUUCAACUAUGGGAAAUCACUUACUGGAGAAGUUAUCCUUUGUACCAUGUAUUCUUAAGGAGAAAGAGAUGCUCAAAAUCAUUGAAAGAAGACAUGUAGGUUGGAAUAAAUGAACUCAAGUCUGAGGAUGAGUCAUUUGGCAGAGUUAUGGAUAUUAAUAAGAUCUAGAAGUAUUUUAUCAUUAUGAAAAGGGUUAAGUUUCUCAUGCUUAGUGACAGCAAUGGGGAAGUAGGGAAAACUACACAUGAAGUCUGCAGCUGCAGUCACUGCAAAACUUGUUAUGAUCUUUAUCUUUUCAAAUUUCAAAUGUAUUGUCUCGAAGGGAGUCAAAUUCUGCUGUUGAGCCGAAUGUAAUGACAGAAAAAUCUAAUUCUUGAGAGAAUGCACUCAAGUGCAAUAGUUACUUCAUACUGAAUGAAGAACUUCUGAGAAACAAAACAUUUUUGGGGGAUUUUGCUAUAUACAAUAUGACUCCAAAGUUGUUCAUGGUUUCACUUUUGGUCAUCUGAAUGAUUAUGUGGUUGAGAAAAUUAUGCACUUUUUUAAAGCUCGUGGAGGAAGCCAGAGGAGCCAGCUCAAUAAAAUUCCUAAAGAUGAUAUUUCUCCCACUCACUCCCUCUAGUUACUGAAGGACUCUGGUGAAUAUUCAGCCCUACCCCAAUUACCCUGUUUGGUGAAUUGUUACCAGAUGUGCAACAGGAAUGGCAUAUUGUUAGAAUGCGAUAAUCAUCAUACUGUGGAUUGAUUGGUGCAAAUAAAAAUGUAG
Mobula hypostoma (lesser devil ray) is the source of this 1297-nucleotide long non-coding RNA. RefSeq lists it as uncharacterized. The transcript has 4 exons. Lineage: Eukaryota; Metazoa; Chordata; Chondrichthyes; Myliobatiformes; Myliobatidae. The record is from RefSeq and is a predicted model, not a curated record.